CGGCUUCUCCCCUCCAUAAACGGAAGCGUCCGGCUGGGGCCCUUACCAGGUCGUCUCCAGGAAGUUCGCAUGGACCGGGCAGCUAUCUUCUACCUCCCUGCUAUGUGGAACGGUCGUUCUUCAAGGCCGAGGAGUCGAUUGCUGUGCCUGCGCCUGAGGCCAAGGCUAUUCUGGACCAGGAUGCUGCUGCCCGGAGAAAAGAUCUGGCCAGGGAUAUUGCUGCUGUCAUCCGGGUGAUGGAGACGGCCAUGGUUUUGACCGACACUUCGGUCUCCACCGCCUCGCUGGAGGAUGCCCUUUUGCAGGUUCGGACGGAGAAGGAAAGACU
RNAcentral lists this long non-coding RNA (328 nucleotides) under Lathyrus oleraceus (garden pea). RNAcentral describes it as "Pisum sativum (pea) long non-coding RNA (PSAT_LNC032441)". Lineage: Eukaryota; Viridiplantae; Streptophyta; Magnoliopsida; Fabales; Fabaceae. The record is from RNAcentral.